GGGUUGUGAGGUUAAGCGACUAAGCGUACACGGUGGAUGCCCUGGCAGUCAGAGGCGAUGAAGGACGUGCUAAUCUGCGAAAAGCGUCGGUAAGGUGAUAUGAACCGUUAUAACCGGCGAUGUCCGAAUGGGGAAACCCAGUGCAAUUCGUUGCACUAUCGUUAACUGAAUACAUAGGUUAACGAGGCGAACCGGGGGAACUGAAACAUCUAAGUACCCCGAGGAAAAGAAAUCAACCGAGAUUCCCCCAGUAGCGGCGAGCGAACGGGGAGCAGCCCAGAGUCUGAAUCAGCUUGUGUGUUAGUGGAACGGUCUGGAAAGUCCGACGGUACAGGGUGAUAGUCCCGUACACCAAAAUGCACAGGCUGUGAACUCGAAGAGUAGGGCGGGACACGUGGUAUCCUGUCUGAAUAUGGGGGGACCAUCCUCCAAGGCUAAAUACUCCUGACUGACCGAUAGUGAACC
RNAcentral lists this ribosomal RNA (465 nucleotides) under Klebsiella pneumoniae. Its description in RNAcentral is "bacterial LSU rRNA". It matches the Rfam family "Bacterial large subunit ribosomal RNA", at positions 1 to 496 of the family's 2925-position model. The record is from RNAcentral. Lineage: Bacteria; Pseudomonadati; Pseudomonadota; Gammaproteobacteria; Enterobacterales; Enterobacteriaceae.